GGUGGACACAACAUCUUUGUUUGUAUGUGGUGCUGAGGAUUGAACCUGGGCCGCACGCAUGCCAGGCGAGCGCACUACCACUUGAGCCACAUCCCCAGCCCCCUGAAAUACUGCUUUUAGAUUGUGCCAUGAGAGCAAAGAUACCCUCUUUUGUAUACUAAAGUGAAUGCAAUAUUUGCCUGCUUUUUUGGUCUGGAUUUGAAAUGUGUUUUUUCUGUGUGGCCUAAUUCCCAAAAUAAUUUGAACACAACAUACCAAGAAAAGACAUAAAAAACUAUGUUAAUAAAAUAUGAACCAAUGGGACUGGGAUUGUGGCUCAGCGGUAGAGUGCUCGCCUAGCACAUGCAGGGCCCUGGGUUCGAUCCUCGGUACCACAUAAAAAUAAAUGAAUGGAAUAAAGGUAUUGUGUCCAACUAAAAAAAAUUAAUAUUUAAAAAUAGAAUAAAAUAAAAUAUGAACUGAAAGGGGAGAAAAACAAGAUCAAUGAAAAUGGAAACAAGGGUAAAAAUGUUGCUGUUACAGUAUAUAAAAAGUGACAGUGGAACUUCCUGAAAGUUAAGGCUAGAAGAAGGCAGAUAAGUUAUGCCUUGAUCUAUCAGCAAUUCCAAAUCAUAUCAGUUCCUUAGGUGGGACUCUGUCCUGAUGAAUUCUGGAAAAUGUGUUCUCACUUGGGGGUCCUAAGAAGUGCCAAAAUGAAGAAAAUUCUUCAUUAUUUGCUGGUUGCUUGUUAUGAUUGUGCCUUGGAUCCUCAGCUUGUACCUGUCUUCGAAAGCUUCCAUUUCAUGGUGUGUGUGUGGGUGUGUGUGUGUGUGUGUGUGUGUGUGUGUGUGUUUAAAAUAGGAUUUUGUUCCCAUAAGUAAAAAUUCUUGCCCUACACUAGAAACAAAUAUCUGUUAAAGCUUGGAAAUUCAUUUGAGACAAAUGCCUUGAAUCAUGG
Molecule: long non-coding RNA, 937 nt
Filed under: Marmota monax (woodchuck)
Lineage: Eukaryota; Metazoa; Chordata; Mammalia; Rodentia; Sciuridae
Source: RNAcentral